This 1092-nucleotide long non-coding RNA is filed under the name Bos indicus x Bos taurus (hybrid cattle). RNAcentral describes it as "lncRNA (ENSBIXG00000004510.1)". The record is from RNAcentral. Lineage: Eukaryota; Metazoa; Chordata; Mammalia; Artiodactyla; Bovidae.
CGCGAGCUGGGGGCCCUUCCUGGGGGUGGGCGGAGCCCGGCCCGAGGCUCGUGCCUUCCCGCAGCUCCGGGGAGCUUCGCCGUGUCCCAGCCCCAGCCCAGACCCCGGCUGCAGCGAACACCGGUGGGCCGUGCUGCCCCCCAGCCCGGAGGAUGCGGUUCUCCUGGGGCAGAGAUGGGGCCGGGCCCGUGAAGCCGGGUCCCCAGCAGGCCUGGCCUCCGGCAGCUUCCUGCCCCAGUGUGGCCCCCGCUCGCCUCGACUGGGAGACGACCACAGCGUGGGGUCCCCGGCCGCCCCUCGCAUCCGCCAGGGCCUCCCAGAGCGACACCCGCUCUGGCUACCGGGAAUGCAGGGGAAACGCACACUCAGGACUAAGGAGUGUGGCCCCCACUUUAGAGGAGGAACUGCCCAUACCACUUUCCCCAGAGUCCACGAGACGGUUGCCCAGCUGUGCCGGCCUGCUGCCCAGGCCCCUGCCACCCCCAAGCCCACCCACAGCCCCCUGGGCCUGGAGGGGACCUCAGUUCAGGCCCUGCUGGGUUGGCCAAGCUCAGGCCCCACGCCAGACCCCCCCCCCCCCCCCCCCCGAGGCCCGACUGCAUGGAGGCUGCAGGAAUGGAACAACCUGCGGGGUAAGAUGUGGUCACAUGUUUCCCGGGCUGCAGGUGUCCUCAUGUGACACAUGGGGUGAGUCGCACCUGACUCCACGUCCAGGGCGGGGUGAGGGCCCCACGUAGGCUGAGAGGGAAGGUCACACCUGACCCGCAUCCAGGGCGGGGUGAGGGCCCCUUGUGGGCUGAGAGGGAAGGUCACACCUGACCCCACCUCCAGGGCGGGGUGAGGGCCCCACCUGGGCUGAGUGUGGCUGCCACACCAGGCGGGCCCAGCUCUCCCUGGACAUGGCCACCUCUAGGCCACUGGCCACCAGGCAGGACGGCGCAGGCCUGAGCUGCCAGGACACGUGGGGCCCAAAGCAGGCCGAGGCCGUCGGCGCUGUGGCCUGCCCCCUCACGCGGCCCCCCGCCUGCCGGGCGUGGGCUGACGCUGGUGCUGGCGCACCCCUGGACGGGAGGUCUGAACGGGAGCCUCGGG